Molecule: non-coding RNA, 124 nt
Organism: Brassica napus (rape)
Lineage: Eukaryota; Viridiplantae; Streptophyta; Magnoliopsida; Brassicales; Brassicaceae
Source: Rfam
GGAAUAUAAGAACUCGUUUCUUAAUUUUUAACUAAAAAAACUAAGAACCGUCUCUUAGAACUCUUAUUUAAGAACCGGUUCUUAAUUUUUUUAUUAAAAAUUAAGAGUUAUGUUCUUAUAUUCC